This 23-nucleotide transfer RNA is filed under the name Lepidium perfoliatum. Its description in RNAcentral is "partial tRNA-Gly". The record is from RNAcentral. Lineage: Eukaryota; Viridiplantae; Streptophyta; Magnoliopsida; Brassicales; Brassicaceae.
GCGGGUAUAGUCUAGUGGUAAAA